UAAGGAAUAUUGCUCAAUGGCCGAAAGGCUGAAGCAGCAACGCCGCGUGGAGGAUGAAAUACUUUUGUAUGUAAACUCCUGUGAGAAGGGAAAAAUAUGCAGAUUUUCUGCGUUGAUUGUACCUUCAGAGGAAGCCCCGGCUAACUACGUGCCAGCAGCCGCGGUAAUACGUAGGGGGCGAGAGUCGUCCGGAUUUACUGGGUGUAAAGGGUGCUCAGGUGGAUUUGUAAGUCAGAGGUGAAAUCCCAAA
Molecule: ribosomal RNA, 250 nt
Filed under: uncultured bacterium
Lineage: Bacteria
Description: partial 16S ribosomal RNA
Rfam family: Bacterial small subunit ribosomal RNA
Source: RNAcentral